This 544-nucleotide ribosomal RNA is filed under the name uncultured fungus. RNAcentral's name for it is "eukaryotic LSU rRNA". It matches the Rfam family "Eukaryotic large subunit ribosomal RNA", at positions 71 to 647 of the family's 3401-position model. The record is from RNAcentral. Lineage: Eukaryota; Fungi.
GGGAUUGCCCUAGUAACGGCGAGUGAAGCGGCAACAGCUCAAAUUUGAAAUCUGGCCUAGCCCGAGUUGUAAUUUGUAGAGGAUGCUUUUGGUGCGGUGCCUUCCGAGUUCCCUGGAACGGGACGCCUUAGAGGGUGAGAGCCCCGUACGGUUGGUCGCCAAGCCUUUGUAAAGCUCCUUCGACGAGUCGAGUAGUUUGGGAAUGCUGCUCUAAAUGGGAGGUAAAUUUCUUCUAAAGCUAAAUACCGGCCAGAGACCGAUAGCGCACAAGUAGAGUGAUCGAAAGAUGAAAAGCACUUUGAAAAGAGGGUUAAAUAGCACGUGAAAUUGUUGAAAGGGAAGCGCUUGUGACCAGACUUUUGCCUUGCGGAUCAUCCGGUGUUCUCACCGGUGCACCUCGCUUGGCCGAGGCCAGCAUCGAUUUUCGCGGGGGGAUAAAGUCUUCGGGAAUGUGGCUCUUCGGAGUGUUAUAGCCCGUGGUAAUACCCCCGCGGGGAUCGAGGUUCGCGCUCUGCAAGGAUGCUGGCAUAAUGGUCAUCAGCGA